UACGGAGGGUGCAAGCGUUGUUCGGAAUUAUUGGGCGUAAAGCGCGUGUAGGCGGCUUUGCAAGUCGGGUGUGAAAGCCCUCAGCUCAACUGAGGAAGUGCGCCCGAAACUGCAGAGCUUGAGUGCCGGAGAGGGUGGCGGAAUUCCCCAAGUAGAGGUGAAAUUCGUAGAUAUGGGGAGGAACACCGGUGGCGAAGGCGGCCACCUGGACGGUAACUGACGCUGAGACGCGAAAGCGUGGGUAGCAAACAGG
Molecule: ribosomal RNA, 253 nt
Filed under: uncultured bacterium
Lineage: Bacteria
Description: partial 16S ribosomal RNA
Rfam family: Bacterial small subunit ribosomal RNA
Source: RNAcentral